Molecule: ribosomal RNA, 409 nt
Filed under: uncultured bacterium
Lineage: Bacteria
Description: bacterial SSU rRNA
Rfam family: Bacterial small subunit ribosomal RNA
Source: RNAcentral
GACGAACGCUGGCGGCGUGCUUAACACAUGCAAGUCGAGCGGUAAGGCCCUUUCGGGGUACGACGAGCGGCGAACGGGUAGGAGUAACAACGUGGGUGGACCUCGCCCUCCAGCUCUGGGAGUAAAGCCGUCGGGAAACCGGGGUACCGUAAUAACUGGAGUAUGACUCCCAUGACGCAUGUUGUGGGGUGGAAAGACCUUGUGCGGCUGAGGAGUGGGCCCGGCCGGCCUAUCAGCUUGUUGGUGGGGUGGAUGGCCUACCAAGGCGACGACGGGUAGCCGGCCUGAGAGGGCGACCGGCCACACUGGGACUGAGACACGGCCCAGACUCCUACGGGAGGGCAGCAGUGGGGAAGUCUUGCGCAAUGGGCGAAAGCCUGACGCAGCGACGCCGCGUGAGGGAUGACGG